RNAcentral lists this ribosomal RNA (776 nucleotides) under uncultured Acidobacteriota bacterium. RNAcentral's name for it is "bacterial SSU rRNA". It matches the Rfam family "Bacterial small subunit ribosomal RNA", at positions 8 to 796 of the family's 1533-position model. The record is from RNAcentral. Lineage: Bacteria; Pseudomonadati; Acidobacteriota.
AGAGUUUGAUCAUGGCUCAGAAUCAACGCUGGCGGCGUGCCUCAGACAUGCAAGUCGAACGAUUAAACUUUCCUUCGGGAAAGAUAUAAAGUGGCGCACGGGUGAGUAACACGUAGGUAAUCUACCUUUGAGUGGGGAAUAACGUUCGGAAACGAACGCUAAUACCGCAUAAUGCAGCGGCACCGCAAGGUGACAGUUGUUAAAGGAGCAAUCCGCUUAAAGAGGAGCCUGCGGCAGAUUAGCUAGUUGGUAAGGUAAUGGCUUACCAAGGCGACGAUCUGUAACCGACCUGAGAGGGUGGUCGGUCACACUGACACUGAAUAACGGGUCAGACUCCUACGGGAGGCAGCAGUCGGGAGUUUUGGGCAAUGGGCGAAAGCCUGACCCAGCAACGCCGCGUGAAGGAUGAAGUAUUUCGGUAUGUAAACUUCGAAAGAAUGGGAAGAAUAAAUGACGGUACCAUUUAUAAGGUCCGGCUAACUACGUGCCAGCAGCCGCGGUAAUACGUAGGGACCAAGCGUUGUUCGGAUUUACUGGGCGUAAAGGGCGCGUAGGCGGCAAAUCAAGUCAGCUGUGAAAUCUCCGAGCUUAACUCGGAACGGUCAGCUGAUACUGUUUUGCUAGAGUGCAGAAGGGGCAAUCGGAAUUCUUGGUGUAGCGGUGAAAUGCGUAGAUAUCAAGAGGAACACCUGAGGUGAAGACGGGUUGCUGGGCUGACACUGACGCUGAGGCGCGAAAGCUAGGGUAGCAAACGGGAUUAGAUACCCCAGUAGUCC